Regulatory RNA element from Bacillus sp. FJAT-27986, 115 nucleotides. It matches the Rfam family "epsC RNA". Lineage: Bacteria; Bacillati; Bacillota; Bacilli; Caryophanales; Bacillaceae. The record is from Rfam.
AGGUGUUGCCUCCUAUCUUUUAUCAAAGGAGGCACUUGGCUAGGUUGUGGGUUAAGAGAAGAUUCUUACUAUACGACUCAUUAAUAGGCUGCUGUGAUGUUGGGUUAGUCGCCCA